UACGUAGGUGGCAAGCGUUGUCCGUAUUUACUGGGCGUAAAGAGCGCGCAGGCGGUCGUUCAAGUCGCGUGUGAAAGCCCCCGGCUCAACUGGGGAGGGUCACGCGAUACUGAUCGACUCGAAGGCAGGAGAGGGUAGUGGAAUUCCCGGUGUAGUGGUGAAAUGCGUAGAUAUCGGGAGGAACACCAGUGGCGAAGGCGACUACCUGGCCUGUUCUUGACGCUGAGGCGCGAAAGCUAGGGGAGCAAACGGG
RNAcentral lists this ribosomal RNA (253 nucleotides) under uncultured bacterium. RNAcentral describes it as "partial 16S ribosomal RNA". It matches the Rfam family "Bacterial small subunit ribosomal RNA", at positions 524 to 776 of the family's 1533-position model. The record is from RNAcentral.